CGGGGCUGGCGCUGACGCUGCCCGGGCUCGGCGGCGCGAUGGCGGCGGCGCGAGGCUAUGGUUGACAUCGCUGUCUAGCUCUCCUGAGGAGGAGUGGGAGGAGCUAGCAGGAUGGCAGAAGGAGCUGUAGAAGGACGAGAUGAGGGACAACUACAAGACUUUGAUCUCACUGGGCGUGCUGUCACCAAACCAGACGUUGCAUCCCUGACUGAACAUGGGGAAGAGCCAUGUGUCCGGGCUCACCAGGAUUCGAGGGAAAGAGACCUUUCUAAAGGGGUCUCCUUUGCAGAUGAUGGAAUCAAGUGGAAGACUGAAGAGAAUCAUCAGCAGGGAAAUUCUGAGGGUUUGGCAGAGCACAGGAAUUUAUCACAGAGAGAGAAAGCAAAUAGCUCUGAGGGAAAUACGUGUGAGGGUGAACGUGGGCCAGCCGGCCAACACAGGAACAUAGGGGAUGAGAGCGUGGAGAAAUCCACUCCAAAUGAAAGACCUUUCAGCAAAUGCCAAAACAUUCCUAUUCGCACAGGAGAGAGACCCCAUAAAUGUACUGAGUGUGACAAAAGCUUCACUCGCCGCUCACAUCUUCUUCAGCACCAGAGAAUCCACACGGGGGAGAGACCCUAUAAAUGUACCGAGUGUGAGAAAAGCUUCCGACAGAGAUCAGAGCUGAUUGAUCAUCAGCGAACGCAUACUCAAGAGAAACCCUACAAAUGUGACAAGUGUGGGAAAAGGUUCAUUCGGAGCACACGGCUUAUUCAGCAUCAAAAUGUUCACAAUGGAGUGAAACCCCACAAGUGCCCCCAGUGUGAGAAAAGUUUUAGCUGGAUCUCAUCAGUUAUUAAACACCAGAGAGUCCAUACAGGUGAGAAACCUUAUAAAUGCCCCGACUGUGAGAAAAGCUUCAGCUGGAGCUCGACUCUUAUAAAGCAUCGGAGACUCCACACAGGAGAGAGACCCUAUAAAUGCCCUACCUGUGCAAAGUGUUUUGUACAGAGUGCAAAUCUUAUUAAACAUCAGAGAGUCCACACAGAACAGAAACCCUAUACAUGCGGGGAAUGUGAGGAAACCUUUUUGAUCAGGUCUCAUUUCAUUCUGCAUCAGAGAAUGCACGCAGGAGAGGAACUCUACAAGUGCGAUGGCUGUGAGGAGUGGUUUGGUCUUGUCUCGGACCUUCAUAAACAUCAGAAGAGCCACAGAGGAAAGAAGCCCUAUAAAUGCUCCGAAUGCGACAAAAGCUUCAACAAGAGUUCAAAUCUUAUUAAGCAUCAGAGAAUCCACACGGGGGAGAGACCCUAUAAGUGUCCCGACUGUGACAAAAGCUUCAUUCAGAGCUCGCACCUGAUGCUCCAUCAGAGAGCGCACAGGGGAGAGAAACCCUACAAAUGCCUGGACUGUGAGAAAAGUUUCCACCAGAGCUCCCAUCUCAUUCAGCACCAGAGAGUCCACACGCAAGAAAAACCCUUUAAAUGUCCUGAGUGCGAGAAAAGUUUCAGCCGAAGCUCAGUGCUAAAUAAACACAAAUUAAUCCACGUGGGAGACCAGAGCUAUAAAUGCAGCCAGUGUGAGGAAACCUUCACUAGCAACUCCCGCCUUCUUCAGCACAAGAGAACCCACCAUGUGGAAAGACCUUACACAUGCCCUAGCUGUGAGAAGAGUUUCAGUCGCAGUUCGCAGCUUAUGCUCCAUCAGAAAACCCACGCAGCAGAGAAACCUUACAAGUGUGCUGACUGUGACAAAGGCUUCGUUUACAGCUCACAUCUAAUUCAGCAUCAGAGAACUCACACUAGAGAACGACCUUAUAAAUGUCCAGUGUGUGAGAAAAGCUUCAUUCAGAGCUCACAUCUCCUUCAGCAUCAGAAAAUCCACACGGGAGAGAGACCUUUUAGAUGUAGUGAUUGUGAGAAAACCUUCAAUCGGAGCUCCAACCUUAUUAAACACCAGAGAACUCACACCAGGGAGAACCCGUAAGAGAUGCUUCCAUAUGAACUCCACGCUCUUGACAAUAAGAGUAUUCACACAGAAGGAAAAUCCUAUAAAUAUUCCAUGGGUAUUGAUGAAAUAGCCUUUUUUCUUGUCCAUGGAGGCUUUGUUCAUCUGUAAUUGGUGGUGCUGGAACUGAUCGUUUGUCCCUGGAGAUCUCAACUAACUACACAGUCCCAGGGAAUCUACAACGCUGAGAAAUCAGUCUGAGGAAAGCUUCCUUUGGUGUUCGUUCAGCAGGAAAGUUGGAGAACCCACAAGAUAGGCGCACCUGGGGUAAGCUGAUCAAACAAUGCAGGAGAAAGAUCCAUGUGCAGUCAGCCAGGUCCUCCUCCUCUAGGAUCCGUCUGGAGUUACUCUGUGUAUGACCCUUGGGUGUGGAGCCCAGCCUUCCCAAAUGUAUUUUCCCCCCUUCCUGUCUCCCAAGAAGCCAGUCUUACAGCCCCUUCUCUGAACACCUGGGCAGCAGGAAGGGGAAGCUGAGGCGAAGUUAACCAUUGUUUACUUGGGAGCAGGUAAGGCCCCUGCACCUUGUCACACCCUGUAACUAGGCUCAGGGCUGAGUUGGACUAGAAAUCCCAAAUCAGUGGGGGCUGGUUUGGAAACCUCUCUCAGACUAUUUUGGGGUUUGCAGAGUUCACAAAGCUAAUUUUCCCUAGAAAUUGAAGAUUCCUUGCCUGUAGAAAAAGCCAGUCUGAGCCUGUAGACCCUGUCCAUUCUGUAUAUUGGGAUUGGUUUCUUACUGGGCAUUCUCUGUAACCCCCUCUUUUUAGUCUUCCUCUAUGAGAGGAGCAUUGAGCCCUAUAACAUUGUUGGCCCCUUUUAACCCCAGCAGCUAGUCAAAGCUGGGGGCCUUGGGGAUGUUCCAGCUGGGAAUAGAA
This is an RNA transcript of Terrapene triunguis (Three-toed box turtle), 2858 nucleotides long. It is a transcript of the gene named zinc finger protein 883-like, with no coding region annotated. Lineage: Eukaryota; Metazoa; Chordata; Testudines; Emydidae. The transcript is spliced from 5 exons. The record is from RefSeq and is a predicted model, not a curated record.